This 623-nucleotide long non-coding RNA is filed under the name Hordeum vulgare. RNAcentral's name for it is "long non-coding RNA (HVUL_LNC020641)". Lineage: Eukaryota; Viridiplantae; Streptophyta; Magnoliopsida; Poales; Poaceae. The record is from RNAcentral.
CCAACACAUCGCAGUGCCCAUUUGGAGAAGAAGAAGAUAGUCGCGGUCAUGGCGCUUACCAAGACCAACGCAACAAGGACGAUCGUCCUCUUGGCCGCCCUUGCCGUCAUGGCCACUCACCUGAUGUCCUCCGCCGACGCACUAGGUUAGUUAGUUAAGCUCCUCCUUUCACACCAAUCUUCUGAAAUCUUACGUUGAAGCAAAUCUCUGGACGUACGUACGUGCAGGCUGCUAUCCGAUCAACGACUGCCGUCCGAACAGCAACGGGGGAGUGAAGUGCGCGCGCAUGUGCGCCUUGCUGAAUGGUCCUUCCGGCAAGUCCUACUGCGACGGCACCACCCAGUGCUGCUGCGCGCCACCCGGCGGCAGGACGACGGACCUCCUGCCGACGAGCGCGCCUCUUCGGACCUCGGACGCUGCUGCCACCUGCUCCAUGAUGAUGAUAGUGAUAGUAGUGAUAUCUUUGUUUCUUCUGAACUAGCACACGUUUCGGUGGUGAUAGUGUUGCUUGCUCGAGAGAGAUGUGUUAUCUGCUGCCGAGACUGUUAUGAUCGUGUUUUCUGCGUGUGGUCUGGAACCAUGAAAUUCAGAAGAAAACAAAUACUGUUUUGCGCUUGAAUGCC